AGUCGAGGGGAAACGACAUCGAAAGCUUGCUUUUGAUGGGCGUCGACCGGCGCACGGGUGAGUAACGCGUAUCCAACCUGCCCACCACUUGGGGAUAACCUUGCGAAAGUAAGACUAAUACCCAAUGACGUCUCUAGAAGACAUCUGAAAGAGAUUAAAGAUUUAUCGGUGAUGGAUGGGGAUGCGUCUGAUUAGCUUGUUGGCGGGGUAACGGCCCACCAAGGCGACGAUCAGUAGGGGUUCUGAGAGGAAGGUCCCCCACAUUGGAACUGAGACACGGUCCAAACUCCUACGGGAGGCAGCAGUGAGGAAUAUUGGUCAAUGGGCGAGAGCCUGAACCAGCCAAGUAGCGUGCAGGAUGACGGCCCUAUGGGUUGUAAACUGCUUUUAUAAGGGAAUAAAGUGAGUCUCGUGAGACUUUUUGCUUGUACCUUAUGAAUAAGGACCGGCUAAUUCCGUGCCAGCAGCCGCGGUAAUACGGAAGGUCCGGGCGUUAUCCGGAUUUAUUGGGUUUAAAGGGAGCGUAGGCCGGAGAUUAAGCGUGUUGUGAAAUGUAGACGCUCAACGUCUGCACUGCAGCGCGAACUGGUUUCCUUGAGUACGCACAAAGUGGGCGGAAUUCGUGGUGUAGCGGUGAAAUGCUUAGAUAUCACGAAGAACUCCGAUUGC
RNAcentral lists this ribosomal RNA (669 nucleotides) under uncultured bacterium. Its description in RNAcentral is "bacterial SSU rRNA". It matches the Rfam family "Bacterial small subunit ribosomal RNA", at positions 60 to 716 of the family's 1533-position model. The record is from RNAcentral.